This 460-nucleotide ribosomal RNA is filed under the name uncultured bacterium. Its description in RNAcentral is "partial 16S ribosomal RNA". It matches the Rfam family "Bacterial small subunit ribosomal RNA", at positions 338 to 795 of the family's 1533-position model. The record is from RNAcentral.
CCUACGGGUGGCAGCAGUGAGGAAUAUUGGUCAAUGGCCGCAGGGCUGAACCAGCCAAGUCGCGUGAGGGAUGACGGUCCUAUGGAUUGUAAACCUCUUUUGUCAGGGAGCAAAGGGCGCCACGUGUGGCGCUUUGCGAGUACCUGAAGAAAAAGCAUCGGCUAACUCCGUGCCAGCAGCCGCGGUAAUACGGAGGAUCCGAGCGUUAUCCGGAUUUAUUGGGUUUAAAGGGAGCGUAGAUGGGUUGUUAAGUCAGUUGUGAAAGUUUGCGGCUCAACCGUAAAAUUGCAAUUGAUACUGGCAGCCUUGAGUACAGUUGAGGUAGGCGGAAUUCGUGGUGUAGCGGUGAAAUGCUUAGAUAUCACGAAGAACUCCGAUUGCGAAGGCAGCUUACUAAACUGCCACUGACAUUGAUGCUCGAAAGUGUGGGUAUCAAACAGGAUUAGAUACCCCUGUAGUC